ACUUGCUUGAUCAACAGGAAGGUGUUUUGGAGGAUGGGUAAUGGAGAUCAGCAGCAGAGACCUGUCUCUGGAUGUCUGGGAGAGGGUACACUGCUUGCCACCCUGAGCCCAGGACAGCCUAUGGAGGAAGGUCUGGAUGGAUGCUCUCUCAAGUUCAGGAAAGCCCUGUCUCUACCUCCCCUGUCUGUGGCUCUUCCUUUGUCCUCUUACACCAUCCUCCAGGAUCAUCCGUACCCUGUAGCCAUACCCUGCUCCCUCAUAGCCAGCCAGGCUCUGCUGACUCCAGGAAGGCCCAAGGGUAUAUCAUCUUUCUUUGGGCUCCGACUCUUCUGUCCCCUCCACAGGAGCAUCCAGGAGAGCAAACAAGUGGCUCUUAAACAUUUCCACACUGAAAAGGAAGGACUCUCUCAAACAGGAUCGAGGAUGGUGCUCUGGGAAGGAGCCACUGUGCUCUGUUCCUCCAGGAUCUUUCCAAUAGGAUGCUGCUGGGCAUGAGCCCCUGUGCACCAUCCUCUGGACCUACGGAGCACUGACAUUCACAGUUUCAUCCUGAAAGGGGGGCAGUAGAUAUCUUCUCCAUAUCCACCCUUUGCACUGGCCAACCAGACAUCUAAGGGAUGUUUCUAGAAGGGCCCCAGGGGAACUGGAAACACCCCUCCUGCAGGUUCACUGUCCCUGCAAUCAUAAACCACCCUAGUCCUUACUACCAUAGUGCAACUUUUUCUGGAGGCUUCCAGGAAGGUAUAAACGUGGCAGUGAUUGUGGUUUAACUCGAGCCUCUCCCAAAGGACUUAUGAAAUACUCAGAAGAAACCAUUAAAGAUCACUCCACACUCCGGCCUCUGGCCUCAGAUUCCCAAACUGCACUUCAGCCUCCCAGACUGCCCCUCUCUUGAAAGUCUGCCUUGAGACCUCUGAUUUUGCAAAUCAGUCACCUCACAUGGCCAUGACCAGUAGUGGACAUUAAUUGGGUUGGACAGGGGACAAAGGCAUCUACAGAAGCAGCAUCCAGCAAACACUGGGGAUACAUCAGAGUCUGCCAAUCAUCUUCCAUGGAGCAGCAGUGGAGGCCACACCCCUCCCACAGGCCCCACCCACUGCACCUCCCAUCGGGUGCUCUUAGAAUGUGUCAUAGCCUUGAUUAAUAAGGAUGACGAGCCUCUGCUUUGUCACCCUCUCAGCACCCCUCUUUCCUUGGCCUCCCUGUGUGCGUGUCCUCUGACCAUUUCCUGUGGCACUGCCCAGUGGGUACACGUGGAGGGUGGUGCACUUCUUGGCAUAUGGGACAAAUAUUUCCUUCUUGGUCUUCUGUCUUUCAAUUUUGUUAAUAGUCCCUUCUCCCAAGUCACCCUAUGAAACCCAGGCUGGCCUGAACCUUCAGUUCCAGUCUCCCAAGUCCUAGAAAGCUUCCAUGUGCAUUAUUUAAUAGAUUCUUUUAAA
Long non-coding RNA from Mus musculus (house mouse), 1439 nucleotides. RefSeq annotates it as predicted gene, 33124. The record is from RefSeq and is a predicted model, not a curated record. The transcript is spliced from 3 exons. NCBI's taxonomy places the organism in Eukaryota, Metazoa, Chordata, Mammalia, Rodentia, Muridae.